Long non-coding RNA from Euleptes europaea (tarantolino), 320 nucleotides. RefSeq lists it as uncharacterized. Lineage: Eukaryota; Metazoa; Chordata; Lepidosauria; Squamata; Sphaerodactylidae. The transcript is spliced from 3 exons. The record is from RefSeq and is a predicted model, not a curated record.
GGCUGUUGUCCUUGAGCCGCUGUCCUUCUUGCAGUGCAACCUUUGCUGUCUCGGAAGCCACUCCCGGCUCGGAAAACAGCUGUCCCCAGGAGUCUCUCUCUGUGGUUCUUGAAAUAUGCCUGCACUCACCCAAUUGCUCCAUGUGGUCUCGGAACCCCUUGAUGCUGGCUGGUCUCCAGAAGGCCCUGGCAGACUCCAUGGAAGAGGCCUGUUCUUGUGGCGUCUGCCCAUGUUAUUUGCAAGGGCUUAAUUUCACCUGUUUCGACUCCGUCCUGAAGCUCUCCGGCCAGCUGUGGGCCAGGUCACGUGAGCAGCUGCAG